AGAAACCGGGGUGGGGGAGGGGUCAGCAUCAGCCCAGGCAGGACUGUCCUGGGGAGCCCCUCCUGUUCUCAGGCAAGACUGGGAAAUCCCAGCCCUAGGGCCCUGGAGAGGCCCUCACCCGCUCUGCUUUCACCCAACCCGACUGACACGGAGUAGGAGGUGGGAAUCAUGCAGGCAGGGAGCUUAGGAAGCCUGGUUUAAGGUCUGUACUUCUCCAGAUUGCUUUGAAUGGCAGGCCCCCUGCUGUGCUCCUGGGGAGAGAGCCUGAAACCUGGAUGCUCGGGAGCCCCUCAGAUCCGUCAUCUGUCCCCGACACCCCUGUGGUGAGCCUUGCCACUGGGCCCUGAGAAGCUCAGAGCAGUCGAGUCAGGGCAGUGGGACAUGACCCAGGUCAGAUGUGGCUUUUCCGUAAUUGUACACCAAUGAUCAAGAGAAAAUGAAGGAUUUUAAUAUCACACACCUACACUUGAUGGCAGGGAAAUAAUUAUUUCCUGCAGAAUGGGCUGCAAAUGUAACAAACCCCCUGACCUUCAGUCUGAAGAGAGAGAACUAUCAACCACACAGAAGCAAAGAUCCAGAGAAAUACUGAGGGAUGCUACCAGACACUCAACCAGGGCCACUCUCCGAGAUUCCAGCCAGCCACACAGCAAAGAUGCUGGCCGGGGACACUGCCCCAAACCACCAGACAGAACCCCAAAGAAACAGCUCCACACACAGUGGAAGAUACACCAGAGACUGUUAGAAGGACCAUCAGACAAAGCCAAAGAGACAGGUAGAUGAAACCAGAUAACCAGCCAGAGAGGUGGUCAGAGAACAGCGACACAAUCAAAGGACCCACCAGAAACACUGUAAAGGACUCAGCUAGACCCAGGCAGAUACACUGCCGAAGGACGAGCAAGGAGCACAGGCAGUGAAGCCGUCGGCGACAAAGCCAGAGAGCUAAGACACUGUCAGAAACAGUGCCAGAGAAACCGUCUGACACACAAGCAGAGAAAUACCAGAGAAACUGAUAGACGCAAACAGGCGUACACCCAGAAAAACAGCUUGAGAGAAGAGCCAGAGCCACAGCCAGAUGCUCAGUCAGGAAGUAUCCACACCACUCCAAACACUGCCAGAGACACUGUCAGACACACAGUCAGACACACUGCCAGAGACACCGUUAUAAAGACUGCCAGAGAAACAGCCAGACACACAGCCAGAAAAACUGACAGAGACGCAGUGCCAGAUAUACCCCGAGAAAGUGCCAGAGACUCAGCUCCAGACAGUGCAGACAUAGCAUAACAGAGACAAAUGUGGGUAUCAGCCUGAAGCAGCUGCGGAGAGGCUGGAGAGCAAUGAACUUCCUGGGGCUUCCUGUGGGAGAGGGCUCCUGCCUGCCUUUUGCUACCCUUGACCCUCUCCAGGAAAGUCCCCUCCUCUGAGCCUGCUUUUCCUUUCCUCCCUGUCACAGCCACAGGUGCCCUGACUGCCCCUCCCUGGCACAGUAAAUCUCUCUGUGUCCUAAGUGGC
This 1509-nucleotide long non-coding RNA is filed under the name Homo sapiens (human). RNAcentral describes it as "HSALNT0351745". Lineage: Eukaryota; Metazoa; Chordata; Mammalia; Primates; Hominidae. The record is from RNAcentral.